RNAcentral lists this ribosomal RNA (422 nucleotides) under uncultured bacterium. Its description in RNAcentral is "partial 16S ribosomal RNA". It matches the Rfam family "Bacterial small subunit ribosomal RNA", at positions 360 to 774 of the family's 1533-position model. The record is from RNAcentral.
AAUCUUGGACAAUGGGGGGAACCCCGAUCCAGCCAUUCCGCGUGUGCGAUGAAGGCCUUCGGGUUGUAAAGCACUUUUGGCAGGGCAGAAAUUGCGCGGGCUAAUACCCUGCGUGGAUGACGGUACCUGCAGAAUAAGCACGGGCUACUUACGUGCCAGCAGCCGCGGUAAUACGUAGGGUGCAAGCGUUAAUCGGAAUUACUGGGCGUAAAGGGUGCGCAGGCGGCUCGGAAAGAAAGAUGUGAAAUCCCAGGGCUCAACCUUGGAACUGCAUUUUUAACAACCGGGCUAUAGAGUGUCAGAGGGAGGUGGAAUUCCGCGUGUAGCAGUGAAAUGCGUAGAUAUGCGGAGGAACACCGAUGGCGAAGGCAGCCUCCUGGGAUAACACUGACGCUCAGGCACGAAAGCGUGGGGAGAAAACA